This 485-nucleotide ribosomal RNA is filed under the name uncultured bacterium. RNAcentral describes it as "bacterial SSU rRNA". It matches the Rfam family "Bacterial small subunit ribosomal RNA", at positions 8 to 506 of the family's 1533-position model. The record is from RNAcentral.
AGAGUUUGAUCCUGGCUCAGAGUGAACGCUGGCGGCGUGCUUAACACAUGCAAGUCGAACGAGAACGGGUUUAGUUUACUAAACUGUCAGCUAAGUGGCGCACGGGUGAGUAAUAUAUAGUUAACCUGCCUCAAAGAAGGGAAUAAUUGUUGGAAACGACUUGUAAUGCCCUAUAUGCCUUUAUUACAUAAGUAAGCAAGGGAAACAUUUAUGGCUUUGAGAUGGGACUGUACGGUAUCAGUUUGUUGGUGAGGUAAUGGCUCACCAAGACUAUGACGCCUAACUGGUUUGAGAGGAUGAACAGUCACACUGGAACUGAGACACGGUCCAGACUCCUACGGGAGGCAGCAGUGGGGAAUAUUGCACAAUGGACGAAAGUCUGAUGCAGCAACGCCGCGUGGAGGAUGACACAUUUCGGUGCGUAAACUCCUUUUAUAUGAGAAGAUAAUGGCGGUAUCAUAUGAAUAAGCACCGGCUAACUCCGU